Molecule: ribosomal RNA, 302 nt
Filed under: uncultured bacterium
Lineage: Bacteria
Description: bacterial SSU rRNA
Rfam family: Bacterial small subunit ribosomal RNA
Source: RNAcentral
UGGCGCGAUUAGAUGAGCCCACGUCGGAUUAGCUAGUUGGCGGGGUAAAGGCCCACCAAGGCGACGAUCCGUAGCUGGUCUGAGAGGAUGAUCAGCCACACUGGAACUGAGACACGGUCCAGACUCCUACGGGAGGCAGCAGUAGGGAAUAUUGGACAAUGGGCGCAAGCCUGAUCCAGCCAUGCCGCGUGAGUGAAGAAGGCCCUCGGGUUGUAAAGCUCUUUUGUCCGGAAAGAAAAGCGCCGGGUUAAUACCCUGGUGUCCUGACGGUACCGGAAGAAUAAGCACCGGCUAACUUCGUG